Molecule: ribosomal RNA, 342 nt
Filed under: uncultured bacterium
Lineage: Bacteria
Description: bacterial SSU rRNA
Rfam family: Bacterial small subunit ribosomal RNA
Source: RNAcentral
GCCNCCUUAGGCCGGACCAUUUAAGUUCAGGGGUGAAAUCCCAGAGCUCAACUCUGGAACUGCCUUUGAUACUGGGUGUCUUGAGUGUGAGAGAGGUAUGUGGAACUCCGAGUGUAGAGGUGAAAUUCGUAGAUAUUCGGAAGAACACCAGUGGCGAAGGCGACAUACUGGCUCAUUACCGACGCUGAGGCGCGAAAGCGUGGGGAGCAAACAGGAUUAGAUACCCUCNUAGUCCACGCCGUAAACGAUGAUUGCUAGUUGUCGGGCUGCAUGCAGNGGGGNAANGCAGCUAACGCAUUAAGCAAUCCGCCUGGGGAGUACGGUCGCAAGAUUAAAACUCAA